Molecule: ribosomal RNA, 351 nt
Filed under: Triticum aestivum (bread wheat)
Lineage: Eukaryota; Viridiplantae; Streptophyta; Magnoliopsida; Poales; Poaceae
Description: partial small subunit ribosomal RNA
Source: RNAcentral
AUGCAAGACUACUUCACGGAGAAUCCUACAUAUCCACCACACCUCUUCCGGAGAAGGUACCGAAUGUGUCGAUCUAUUUUUGUGAAACUUGUUCAAGCUUGCGAGGCAAAUUGCCGGUAUUUUACUCAAAGAAGAAAUGUUGCGGGCUUAAAGGGAUUUAGUGCAUAUCAAAAAAUCUCCGCAGCUGUGCGGGUGAUUGCAUAUGGCGUUCUGGCUGACUAUGCCAAUGAGUACCUUCGCAUUGGUGAAGAUACUACAAUUGAGCCCGUGCAUAGAUUUGCAAAAGUGAUCGUCCGUGUCUUUGGUCCUGAGUAUCUUCGCACACCAACGAGGAUGACACAAAGAAAUUGA